Molecule: long non-coding RNA, 1244 nt
Organism: Gorilla gorilla gorilla (western lowland gorilla)
Lineage: Eukaryota; Metazoa; Chordata; Mammalia; Primates; Hominidae
Exons: 3
Source: RefSeq, a predicted model, not a curated record
GCUAGAGCUUCCCGGCUACCCUGGAAGCUGGAGGCCGGGACCAGCUCUUCAGGUGACAGGCCUCUGUGUCUCCACAGUGGCCAGAGGGGAGCCUGCCUGACUGAUGAGCAAGGCUCGACUUUGUCACCAAGGCAGAGAAGGGACCCGGAUAAAUGACCCCGGCGGCCCCCACCCCUGCCUGGUGUGAGAGUGGGGUCUUCUCUGGCCCAGCCUUUGACUGAAGCUGGUCUGGAGACAGGAGCAUUAGAGAAGUGACUCAUAGAUGGCCUAAAGAAGCGGGGCCACUCAAGGACCCAGGACAGAGGGAAGAGGGCCAACCCAGCUGGACCACAGGCAAACCCCAUGGCCUUUGAGAGAAGAGAGAAGAGGACCCGGUGAAGUAGGCUCGGAGGCCCUCAGCCCAGCAGGAGUGCAGGGCUUUUCCUCCAGGAGCUGCACCAGGAACUCAUAGAGGAUCAGGGAGAAUUCUGAGAACACGCUACUGUGGUGCUGCCUAGAAAGGAGGAUAAAUGAUGACAAGUACAUCUCUGAGUAACAUACGGGCACUUGUUCAUGAAAACUGUUUUUCUGAAAGCUUGUGAAGGUCUUGAAAUACUCGCUAUCAGUUGAGGACAAACAUUUACACCCUCCUUCCACAGGGAGUUCAAGCAGCCUGGAUGGGUCCAUCUAUGGAUGAUCUUCCCCAGCCCCUUCCUCUUCCCAGGUUAUCCCUGGCUCUCUGUGUGAACAGUUCUCAUCAGUGGAAUGUCAUUGAUGAAGUGAGGUCUUCAAUUUUCUCAUCUACUGUGUGGUCAUGUUAUUUUCCUCAUCCGAGGCUUAAAAACUCACCUGCAUGCAGCACAUGACAGCUUAAAAUCUCUUGUGAACAAAACAGUAACAAAGACACACACCAGGGUUGAGCAUCCCAUGUUGAUGACAGCGACCACCAGGGGUCAACGUCCUCUUCACAAUCCUGUGUCAGAGCAUCACUUGACUGAUUUCAUUAGCAACUUCCCAGGAGAAUCAGCUUAUAAAAUACUUGUCCCAUUUUCCAUGCAGAUGUAACCCAUCUAUUUUACUGAAGAAAUAGGAAGAGCUGAAUGCUGAAUUCACUGAAUGUCUGCAGGUUGUGCAAGUUUGUGACUUUAUCACUUUCUGAUUUCUGAUCUGUGUGGACCACUCUACAGAUUUUUCUCACUGGUGUGAUCAGCCUUCUGGAUGUCAAAUAUAAUAGACUUUCAUCAUAUAAAAGUCAACACAAGCUC